This 978-nucleotide non-coding RNA is filed under the name Nipponia nippon (crested ibis). Its description in RNAcentral is "12S ribosomal RNA". It matches the Rfam family "Bacterial small subunit ribosomal RNA". The record is from RNAcentral. Lineage: Eukaryota; Metazoa; Chordata; Aves; Pelecaniformes; Threskiornithidae.
AAAGACUUAGUCCUAACCUUACCGUUAAUUUUUGCUAGACAUAUACAUGCAAGUAUCCGCGCUCCAGUGUGAAUGCCCUCAACACCUUGACAAGGUGCGAGGAGCGGGUAUCAGGCACACCCCCUAGAUUGUAGCCCAAGACACCUUGCUUAGCCACACCCCCACGGGUAUUCAGCAGUAAUUAACAUUAAGCAAUAAGUGUAAACUUGACUUAGUCAUAGCAACACCUAGGGUUGGUAAAUCUUGUGCCAGCCACCGCGGUCACACAAGAGACCCAAAUUAACAGUAGCACGGCGUAAAGAGUGGUAUCAUGUUAUCCUGAUAGAACUAAGAUCAAAAUGCAACUGAGCUGUCAUAAGCCUAGGAUGCACUUAAGACCACCCUAAAGACGGUCUUAGCCUUCAAGGAUCAAUUGCCCACCACGAAAGCUAGGGCACAAACUGGGAUUAGAUACCCCACUAUGCCUAGCCCUAAAUCUUGAUAUCUCCUACCACUAAGAUAUCCGCCUGAGAACUACGAGCACAAACGCUUGAAACUCUAAGGACUUGGCGGUGCCCUAAACCCACCUAGAGGAGCCUGUUCUACAACCGAUAACCCACGGAUAUACCCAACCACCUCUUGCCAGAGCAGCCUACAUACCGCCGUCGCCAGUCCACCUCCCCUGAGAGUUUAGCAGUGGACACAACAGCCCCAACAUCGCUAACAAGACAGGUCAAGGUAUAGCCCAUGAGGUGGAAGAAAUGGGCUACAUUUUCUAACAUAGAAAACUUCACGGAAGCGGACGUGAAAUCGUCUGCAGAAGGUGGAUUUAGCAGUAAAGAGAGAUAAUAGAGCUCUCUUUAAGCCGGCCCUAGGGCACGUACAUACCGCCCGUCACCCUCCUCACAAGCUAUGAACUUACAUAACUAAUACGCCAAUCAGCCGAAGAUGAGGUAAGUCGUAACAAGGUAAGUGUACCGGAAGGUGCACUUAGCAUAC